UUUUUCUUUGUCUACAUUUGGCAA
RNAcentral lists this small RNA (24 nucleotides) under Arabidopsis thaliana (thale cress). Its description in RNAcentral is "ATSL064220". Lineage: Eukaryota; Viridiplantae; Streptophyta; Magnoliopsida; Brassicales; Brassicaceae. The record is from RNAcentral.